GCGCCGUUUGCACUGCCACAUCCGCGUUCCAGGGGAACAUUUUGGGGCAACCGCAAAAAUACAACGUUUCCAGCCGCUUACAGAUGUUCCAUGGGGGAUUUUGCGUGCUAUUNNNNNNNNNACACCUCCCUAAAAACGGCCGGAACAGCACCGUUUCAAGGCGGUCCUUUGUUGCGUGAUUACGACUGUUGGGCAAUGGUCAUCGAAGCGACGGAGGGGGGCAUCCCGAGGUCGUCCCGUUUGGGAGUUUCGCUUAAGUCGCUCGCGUUCAGCG
RNAcentral lists this unclassified non-coding RNA (274 nucleotides) under Hevea brasiliensis (rubber tree). Lineage: Eukaryota; Viridiplantae; Streptophyta; Magnoliopsida; Malpighiales; Euphorbiaceae. The record is from RNAcentral.